UCAGUUUCGCACCAAAACAGGACGCAGUCUUUCUCAGUUCUCACCUUCUCGCACAGAAGAGUCUGAAGAAGAGAAGAGAAGAGCAAUGAUUGGAGAAGAAUUAGCGGGCCCCCCAGCCCCAAAGCUCCUCCGUCUGCUUUAUUUUGUCGGCGCUGGCUUUAUUUGCACUGUUGGAAUCAAUAAAUGGCGUGAGCUUCAGAACAUGUCAAUUUUACAGCAGCAGCAGCAGCAACAGCUCCCUGAAAAUGCCGCAAAUGCCCUUGAGUGAUCUCCAGGUUUAUGAUUUGAAAGUCUUGCUGGUGACAAUAAUGAUAAAUGUAAUGAUUUCAAGUUUCACUGAUGUACUAUGAAAUCUUCCUGUUGUUUUAAGGCGAAUUUUCAAUUUUAUCAUGGAAAGCUUGAGCUUUGGCUUCAUUUUGAGUUUGUAUGUGCUGCUCCAGCUGAACUCGUGUUAGACUGAGCUUUGGUAGUUUGGUUGUUAAAUUGUAUAGAAAAUGGUGCAAGAAUUCAUGUC
Long non-coding RNA from Prunus persica (peach), 514 nucleotides. RefSeq lists it as uncharacterized. The transcript is spliced from 2 exons. The record is from RefSeq and is a predicted model, not a curated record. NCBI's taxonomy places the organism in Eukaryota, Viridiplantae, Streptophyta, Magnoliopsida, Rosales, Rosaceae.